Molecule: long non-coding RNA, 1020 nt
Filed under: Anser brachyrhynchus (Pink-footed goose)
Lineage: Eukaryota; Metazoa; Chordata; Aves; Anseriformes; Anatidae
Description: lncRNA (ENSABRG00000006199.1)
Source: RNAcentral
AUGAAAAAGCAAAACGCGCGAGGGAAGGAGAGGCCACCGCCUGCAGGGGCCGUGGGACAGCCCCCGCACCCCGCGCCCCCUACCCCCAGUCCAGCGGGAAGCCAGCCGUUUUUCGGCUGCGGGAGCUCGCCCGGCCUCCCGAACGGCUGCCGCACGGGGCAGGACCACGAGGCGAGCCGCCGGCCCGCAGCGGCCGCGACAGCCCAAAGCCUUCGGCGAGCAGCGGGGCCGCAGGGGCGGCGGCGGGCGCCGGACGAGCACCUCGAACGAGCACCGGGCACCGAUGCCCGAAACGCGGAGAAGCCGGCAGCGGCGGACGGAGGCGCCGCGGGAGCCCUCGGGGAACGGCCGCACCGCCCGGCCCGCGGGGACCGCUCCGUGCCCCACAACCCCGGCACCCGGCUCGCCCCGGGGCCCCCCCCGCCGGUGCAGAGACACGGCCCGGGGCGAGGAGACGGAGGGGGGGGGGGAAGGGGGAUCGCGGCCGCGCUCCGCAGGUUCCGCAGGUUCCGCAGGUUCCGCAGGCCCCGGGAGCCCAGGACGCCGCCGGCGCCUCCGCUCGGUAGCGGGGGCGAGGCGGUCCCCGUCCUGCCGCCUGCCCCCCACUUACAGCGCGCAGCUCCCCGGUCCGGUCCUUCAUCGCGCCCCGCCGCCGCUCAGCCCGGCCGCCGCUCGGGGGAGGGGCGGGCGCGGCACAUGCGCGCAGCCCGGCGGAGCGGAGCGGAGCGGCCCCGCGGGGCGCUGGGAGCGGCCGGGGCGGAGGGGGGUCCUACGGGAGGGGGGUGGCGCUGCGGGGUGCCACGCGUGGGGGUAAGCUGGCAGCGGGGCGCGCCGGCAGGGGUCGUGCCGGGGGGCGCCCACAGGAGGGGCUUGGCAGCCCGCGGGGGCUGGGACGGCGGUGGGGCAGGGGCCCCGGAGCUGGGCCCUCGAGGAGCCGUGAGGCGACCCAGGCCCAAAGCAACGGCGCCAGGUGGCUGCUGGGGGGGGGGAGGGCUUGCCACUGUCAGGAGGCUCCCCUGA